This 282-nucleotide ribosomal RNA is filed under the name uncultured bacterium. RNAcentral's name for it is "partial 16S ribosomal RNA". It matches the Rfam family "Bacterial small subunit ribosomal RNA", at positions 335 to 617 of the family's 1533-position model. The record is from RNAcentral.
ACUCCUACGGGAGGCAGCAGUGAGGAAUAUUGGUCAAUGGAGGGAACUCUGAACCAGCCAUCCCGCGUGUAGGAAGACGGCCUUAUGGGGUUGUAAACACUUUUAUACAGGAAGAAACGUACCCUCGUGAGGGUGCUGACGGUACUGUAGGAAUAAGCACCGGCUAACUCCGUGCCACAGCCGCGGUAAUACGGAGGGUGCGAGCGUUAUCCGGAUUUAUUGGGUGUAAAGAGCAUGUAGGCGGUUAUUAAGUCUGGUGUGAAAGCUAGUGGCUCAACCACU